Molecule: RNA transcript, 4860 nt
Organism: Apis cerana (Asiatic honeybee)
Lineage: Eukaryota; Metazoa; Arthropoda; Insecta; Hymenoptera; Apidae
Source: RefSeq, a predicted model, not a curated record
GUUUAUUCUUUCAUUUUACAAUGAUUUUAAAUAUAAAAUUUCUGAAAAAUUACCUAGAAUAACGAGAUUUUUCGAAAAUCGUAAUACAUCGAACAAUUAUCGCGUUACGCUUAAUUCGAUAUUUCAAUUCGAUAAAUACGAUGGUGUAUAAUUAAUACGAUUCCCUUUCCAAUCCGUUGUAAUUUCCAUUCGAAAUGAUAUAGAUCUAAUUACAGAUUGCUCGAAGAAAUCCAAGCCAAGUCGCAAAAUGACUUUGGUAUUUUACGAUGUUGGUUCAGCAUUUCUCAAGCUAUCCAUAAAAUUAAAUCUAUAGAUUAUGGCCUGACUUGGUCGUUUCGUAACUCUUGUAUAAAUUCUAUAUCGAAUCGAUUCGAAUCGAAUCGAGACAAGGAACAUCUCAAUAUUGAACGAAAAAAGUUUCUUUUACCGAUCGUAAAGAAAUAGAUUAAUGAAAAAAACCGCAAUCGUAAUAAAUAUUAUCCCUAUAUUGGAAAUAGCUACCUAUAUUCUAAAUUUUAUAGAAUGUAUAUCGUUAUGUUUGAUUCAUAUCGCAAAAGAAUAUAUUGAUACACGUGAACGAUUAUGGAUUAUAUAUAUAUUUCAUACGAAAACGUGAAAAAUGUACAGAAUGCGCCAUUUGACGAAUGACGAAAUUCAGAAGCAAUAUGGCGUAUAACGAACUUCGCAAAAUGAUAUUCUAAUCAAUUACGAAAUUGUUAUAUAAAACUCUUAACUCACCAUAGAAGACAGCUACAGAUGAUAAGCAUCUCGUAAAUCUGGAUGUAGAAGCUUCAGGUUCUUAAAACACUAAUGAGAACACUAAAAUAUCACACAAAAUUCGACCGAGACGCAAUUACGACGCACAUUUUACGAAUUCAACGUUGAACUGCGUGCGCAUCAUCGACCCGGCAUGUUGAUCAUAGAAAUAUACGAUGCCUCGAGGUAUCAUUGCGAAUAUGAACGACCUUCUAACGAUUUUACGUGGAAAAUUAAACAUGCUGUUUGUUUUCGAAGUAAUUGCUUGUUUUAUUAAAGCAGAUAUUAGUAAAUGAAUAAAAAAUAUUUAAUUAAUUGAGAAAAUAUAUUGAACAAAAACGUGAGAAAGCAAGAUGCGCAAAUUUAGUGAAAUUUAGAACAUUAUGGCGCAUGACGAAUUUCACGAAACGAAUAGUACGAAAUUAUUGUACAUAAAGCUCUUAACUCACUAUAAAAGACAAUUACGGACGACAAACAUUUUGUAAAUUUACGUAGAAACUUUAGAUUUUUGAUACACUAAAAAGAACAGUAAAAAAGUCACACGAAAUUAGACUACGAUAUGACUACGACACGCGAAUCGUACUUCGAAGUAUUGGACUGUCGUUAUACAUCUGCGCACGCAUAUCAUCGACCCGGCAUAUCGAUCGUAGAGACGCCUCGAGGCAUCAUUGCGAACAUGAGUAUUCUUCUAACGAUUUUACGUUUAAAAUAUGUCGUGCUGUUUGUUUCGAAGCAAUCGUGUACAUAGACGAGUGUUAAUUUCUUGUGCAUUAAAUCGAUAAAGAAAGUUUAAUUAAUUGUGAAAGUGUGUAUAAAAACGCAAAAAAGCAAAAUAGUGGCGCCGCUUGGUAAAAUUCGAAGCAUUAUGGCGCAUAAAAAAACUACGAAAUAAUAUUCGAAACAAUUGUUGUACAUAAAAUUCUCAAUUUACUACAGAAGAUAAUUAAUACCAGUAUAAUAAAUUUAGUAAAAUAAUAAUAAAUUUUAUACAAAAUAUAGCAAUAUUCGGAUUCUUAAAAUAUUAAUAAAAACAUUAAAAUAAUUAUAUAAAAUUCAACUGCGACACACUUUUCGAAGUAUUAGAUUGUCGCUGUGUGUACAUCAUCGACCUGCGUAUCGAUUUGUAAACACAUUCGUCGCGUAUUGUUUCAAUUACGACGCGACACUUCGAGACACCGUUGUAAACACAAGCGACCUUAUUGUAACGAUUUUAGAAAUCAGUCGUACUGCUCGUGUCGAAGUGAUCGCAUGCUCUCUUAGGUAGUCGUUAAUUUAUUGCGUAGUAAGUGUUUUAAAAAAAUUUAUUCAAUCGUGAAAGUGCGGUUAAUCAUAUCGAGUUGAUUCGAGAAGAUAUACGUGUGAAGUGCGCAGAAUAACCAAAUUAUCGAUCGAUAUUUAACGAUAUAUAUCCUUACGAUAAUUGAUUAUCAAGUGUGUGCAAUAAUUUACUCGUGUGUACAAUACGCAUCAGACUACGUCAAGGCACGAAAUACAGCAGCAAUAGUCGGAUCGAUGACUCAGUUCGUGAAAAUCAGAUUGGAUAGUGAGUUUGUUCGACGAUGAAACGGUAUCGUAAGAAAUAUUUUGGAACAACGCACAAUGCAGAGUUCAACUUCGCUCGACACGACCAGGACAAAGAGAAGAAACAUGGGCGAGCACAUCCUCUCGAAUCGAGCGAGGAUGAUAAUUCGGGGAAUUCGUUGGUAAGAGAAUCGAAGAAUCGGCUGUGUAAUUCCACGAAGCUUGGGUGGCUAUGCCUAUUUUGAUAAAUAGAGUAGAGGGAGAAGGAUGGGAUUCUCUCUCUCUCUCUUUUUCUCUCUCGGUGGAGUUUAGUCGGUUGCGACUGAGCUUUGAUACCAAGGCAACCGUGAGUGACGUCAAAGUUUUCCACACACAAUGAGAAAGGACAGGAAGAGAUCGAUGACCGCGAUAGAUCUCGCGAGCAUUGUGACGAUGGAACGUCGCGAGAGUGGGUUUCGAGGGGAAGUCGAAUGAGAGGAGACCGAUUCCUGCACCACGUUUCGACUUUUCCAACGAUAGCUCAGCUUAUGGACACCCUGUGCAUCAAGAAGGCGGGCGAAGGAAAAACGGUGUGUUUCGAGCGAUAACGCAGCUGACUCGAGAACGGUGCUCCCUUUGUCCCGUUAAUUGCUUCGAUUCUGACACACGCAAACCGAUUCUAUCUACAACGAGUACACAAAGGAGCGGGGCCCGCCACUUCUUCGAGGCAGUGGAUCGCGAUAAUCGGCGGAGCGCAGGUACUCCGGGCACGCGUGAACAACAGUACAACGAAGAGUCAUCGAGACCGUUCCUCUUCCAAGGAAUUCGCUCCUUCUUCCCGACAUCUGCCUCUAAGCUGCGUGUAGAACGAGAUACAAUCGCUGGAAAUACUCCGCUAGUAUCUCGGCGGGAGGGUGGAUUCGAAACGUGAUGGGAAACGCACGUGGGAGAGAUGUUAAAAUAUAUUUAUUAGGACGUUCGUAAUAGAAGAGAUUUCUAGUAGGAAGGAGAGAUUAAUCGGCAAAGGGUUUUUUGCGAAUGAAAUUAAUCUUAUUCGGUUCGCCGUAAUGAACUGUGACUCGGAAACAAGGCCGCCUAAGGAUAUAUCGCGGUAGAGGGGCGCAUGCAAGAAGCUGAAUACCAAAGAUUCCUGGAAUCACUGCCGCUGGGCGAUAAAGCGUUUACACCUGGAUCGAUUAGCAUCUUUCAUUAAAAUUAAUGGAGAAUCGAUACUAAUCCUCCUACGAUCCACGUUCAACGCAUACGGGGGCACUAAUUAACCGAAAUAUCUGCGACUGACCGAGAUGUAUCGGUGCGUUGGCUUUGGUUUUAGAGAUGGCCGGCGCCUGAUGCGAAUUAUGUAUGAUGCAUCGACCAAUAUCGCGUUAAAAAGGUAACGAGUCUCGUAUUUCAUAUAGAAAUUAUAUCUGUAAAUCUUAUCUUUCGAGUGUUACCUUUACUGAACGAGUAAACGGGUAAGUAUAUGAGAUGCAGAAGAUAAUUCAAUGCAAUUCUUAAACAAAUCGUGAUAUGAUAUCUUACGAUGUAUAAAAAUAUAAAUAUCAAUGUAUGAAAAUAUAUAUAGAUUUACGUAUAAAAAUUGGAUUAGAAUAGAUUUCGGUAAGAUUUUCGAUCGAUAGAUUAAGCGAAGAAAAGGAUAAAGUUGAUCGAGUAUCGAAGCUGUCUUUUGAGCGCAUGAUUUUUGUGGAGCAGGUGAUAGACAAGGAGAGUAAGUAAUGCGAAAAGGACAGAAAUAGGAUAAAAAUAUUGAAAUCAGCGCCAUCUUCAGAGUGCCGCAAAUGAAACUCGGAAAGGAAGGAUAGAAAAUGGUUGGAAAAGGACAGAGAUAGAAUCGGAAUUAACCGUUAGCACCAUCUCUCGUGUAGAAGAAGUACUUCUUCGAAGAUGGUAAGAUAGAGUUAGAAGAAUUAACGCGCAGCGCCAUCUCUCGAGUACGAAAAGUACCUUUUCAAAGUCGAUAAGAUAGAGUUGGGAGAAUUAGGAAGCAGCGCCAUCUCUUGAGUUUUCUUUUAACGAGAUACCUUUGUUGAUUAAGAGAUGGCACUGAUGAUCAAUUCUUAUUGUAUCUCUAUCCUUUUCCCAUUAUAUUCUGUCCUUAUUUUUUUGAGUUUCAUUUGCGGCACUCUGAAGAUGGCGCUGAUUUCAAUAUUUUUAUCCUAUCUCUAUCCUUUUUCCAUUAUUUGCUCUCCUUGUCUAUACUUUUUUUUAGCACAUGAAUAGGUAUAAAAUAAAAUUCGAUAUAAAAUAAGAUUUUAAGACAUUACGAAUAAUUGAAAUUUAAACUGUAUUUUAAUGAAAUUACAAAUAAGAUACAAACGUAAACAAUAAUUAGAGAUAUUAAUUAUUUAACAUUUAUAACGAAUAAUAAACGAAUAGUAAACAAACCCUUAAAUAUUCUUAUGCACAUUCAAUUAUAUUUUUAUCUUGAGAUAAAACUUUCAAAAGAGCAUUAAUAUUUUCUGAAAGCAAGAAAUCGUCCGAGAUCACUUUCGAUAUAUCGAUAGUCGUUUCUAUGGCGCCAUUUAAUUUUUUGAACGCGUUCCUCGCAACCACAAGCUCUGUCAAAACGUUCUUGAAAAGUAG